GUUGAAACAGCGGUUCCUGUACGAUCGCCGAAGUUAAGCAUCAUUGAGCCUGGUCAGUCCCUAGAUGGAUGACCGCUUAGGAAUACCGGAUGUUAUA
Acanthosepion pharaonis is the source of this 97-nucleotide non-coding RNA. NCBI's taxonomy places the organism in Eukaryota, Metazoa, Mollusca, Cephalopoda, Sepiida, Sepiidae. The record is from the annotation of a GenBank genome assembly.